UACGUAGGAGGCGAGCGUUGUCCGGAAUUACUGGGCGUAAAGCGUGCGCAGGCGGUUUGUUAAGUCCGCUGUGAAAUCCCCGAGCUCAACUUGGGAAUUGCAGUGGAUACUGGCAAGCUGGAGUAUGGUAGAGGAAAGUGGAAUUCCACGUGUAGCGGUGAAAUGCGUAGAUAUGUGGAGGAACACCAGUGGCGAAGGCGACUUUCUGGACUGUAACUGACGCUGAGGCGCGAAAGCGUGGGGAGCAAACAGG
RNAcentral lists this ribosomal RNA (253 nucleotides) under uncultured bacterium. RNAcentral describes it as "partial 16S ribosomal RNA". It matches the Rfam family "Bacterial small subunit ribosomal RNA", at positions 524 to 776 of the family's 1533-position model. The record is from RNAcentral.